RNAcentral lists this ribosomal RNA (479 nucleotides) under uncultured bacterium. Its description in RNAcentral is "partial 16S ribosomal RNA". It matches the Rfam family "Bacterial small subunit ribosomal RNA", at positions 28 to 507 of the family's 1533-position model. The record is from RNAcentral.
GAUGAACGCUGGCGGCGUGCUUAACACAUGCAAGUCGAACGAAGCACUUAAGAUUGCUUCUUCGGAUGACGUCUUUUGUGCCUUAGUGGCGGACGGGUGAGUAACGCGUGGGUAACCUGCCUCACACAGGGGGAUAACAGUUAGAAAUGACUGCUAAUACCGCAUAACCCGAUAGGAUCGCAUGAUCCAGACGGAAAAGAUUUAUCGGUGUGAGAUGGACCCGCGUCUGAUUAGCUAGUUGGUGAGGUAACGGCCCACCAAGGCGACGAUCAGUAGCCGGCCUGAGAGGGUGAACGGCCACAUUGGGACUGAGACACGGCCCAAACUCCUACGGGAGGCAGCAGUGGGGAAUAUUGCACAAUGGGGGAAACCCUGAUGCAGCGACGCCGCGUGAGUGAAGAAGUAUUUCGGUAUGUAAAGCUCUAUCAGCAGGGAAGAAAAUGACGGUACCUGACGAAGAAGCCCCGGCUAACUACGUG